RNAcentral lists this ribosomal RNA (876 nucleotides) under uncultured crenarchaeote. Its description in RNAcentral is "bacterial SSU rRNA". It matches the Rfam family "Archaeal small subunit ribosomal RNA", at positions 21 to 903 of the family's 1478-position model. Lineage: Archaea; Thermoproteati; Thermoproteota. The record is from RNAcentral.
ACCUGACUGCUAUCGGAUUGAUACUAAGCCAUGCGAGUCAUUGUAGCAAUACAAGGCAUACGGCUCAGUAACGCGUAGUCAACCUAACCUAUGGACGGGAAUAACCUCGGGAAACUGAGAAUAAUGCCCGAUAGAACAUUAUACCUGGAAUGGUUUAUGUUCCAAAUGAUUUAUCGCCAUAGGAUGGGACUGCGGCCUAUCAGUUUGUUGGUGAGGUAAUGGCCCGCCAAGACUAUUACAGGUACGGGCUCUGAGAGGAGUAGCCCGGAGAUGGGUACUGAGACACGGACCCAGGCCCUAUGGGGCGCAGCAGGCGAGAAAACUUUGCAAUGUGCGAAAGCACGACAAGGUUAAUCCGAGUGAUUUCUGCUAAAGAGAUCUUUUGUUAGUCCUAGAAACACUAACGAAUAAGGGGUGGGCAAGUUCUGGUGUCAGCCGCCGCGGUAAAACCAGCACCUCAAGUGGUCAGGAUGAUUAUUGGGCCUAAAGCAUCCGUAGCCGGCUCUGUAAGUUUUCGGUUAAAUCUGUACGCUCAACGUACAGGCUGCCGGGAAUACUGCAGAACUAGGGAGUGGGAGAGGUAGACGGUACUCGGUAGGAAGUGGUAAAAUGCUUUGAUCUAUCGAUGACCACCUGUGGCGAAGGCGGUCUACCAGAACACGUCCGACGGUGAGGGAUGAAAGCUGGGGGAGCAAACCGGAUUAGAUACCCGGGUAGUCCCAGCUGUAAACUAUGCAAACUCAGUGAUGCAUUGGCUUGUGGCCAAUGCAGUGCUGCAGGGAAGCCGUUAAGUUUGCCGCCUGGGAAGUACGUACGCAAGUAUGAAACUUAAAGGAAUUGGCGGGGGAGCACCACAAGGGGUGAAGCCUGCGGUUC